Molecule: ribosomal RNA, 677 nt
Filed under: uncultured bacterium
Lineage: Bacteria
Description: bacterial SSU rRNA
Rfam family: Bacterial small subunit ribosomal RNA
Source: RNAcentral
GGGGAUAAGCGGAAGAAAUUCCGUCUAAUACCGCGUAAUAACUCCGAGAGGCAUCUCCUGGGGUUUAAAGGGUAACACCGGCUACGGAUGGCCAUGCGGCGCAUUAGCUAGUUGGCGGGGUAACGGCCCACCAAGGCGACGAUGCGUAGGGGUUCUGAGAGGAAGGUCCCCCACACUGGUACUGAGACACGGACCAGACUCCUACGGGAGGCAGCAGUGAGGAAUAUUGGUCAAUGGGCGCGAGCCUGAACCAGCCAAGUCGCGUGAGGGAAGACGGUCCUAUGGAUUGUAAACCUCUUUUGUCGGGGAGCAAAAGACGCCACGCGUGGCGUUCCGAGAGUACCCGAAGAAAAAGCAUCGGCUAACUCCGUGCCAGCAGCCGCGGUAAUACGGAGGAUGCGAGCGUUAUCCGGAUUUAUUGGGUUUAAAGGGUGCGCAGGCGGAAGAUCAAGUCAGCGGUAAAAUUGAGAGGCUCAACCUCUUCGAGCCGUUGAAACUGGUUUUCUUGAGUGAGCGAGAAGUAUGCGGAAUGCGUGGUGUAGCGGUGAAAUGCAUAGAUAUCACGCAGAACUCCGAUUGCGAAGGCAGCAUACCGGCGCUCAACUGACGCUCAUGCACGAAAGUGUGGGUAUCGAACAGGAUUAGAUACCCUGGUAGUCCACACAGUAAACGACGAA